RNAcentral lists this long non-coding RNA (4747 nucleotides) under Nothobranchius furzeri (turquoise killifish). RNAcentral's name for it is "lncRNA (ENSNFUG00015021689.1)". The record is from RNAcentral. Lineage: Eukaryota; Metazoa; Chordata; Actinopteri; Cyprinodontiformes; Nothobranchiidae.
GUGUGCUCCUGGACCCUUCUGCUUUGUGUUUUUGGCAUCCUAGCGUCACAGGUGUUCCUGGCCCAUGGACCUGUCUCCAACACCAGGCUUCAAAAGGAGGCUGGCUGCCUCCUCGUCCCCAGUAGAAGCUGAAGAAACAUCCAGGAGCCCUUUUCUCUGCUCACCCUCUUCACCCCCUUCAUCUGAUCCAUCUUCACCAUCGUCUUCAUCCUCCUUUUUCUGUGCAAAGUCAUCUGCUUAUCAAAAUCAUGUGAAAUGUCAAAGAGAGGUGUCUGGGGUGUCCUCCACAUCCACCUCUUCAGCUAGACAGCCUCUCCCCACUCCUUCAUCCAGUACCAUCUCUGUGGCCUGCUGUCCUCGUGGAUCAAUGCAGUCCAGUGAAGAAGAUGGCCAGAAAGAGGAAAUGUAUGAUCCUUUCAGUCCGACUGAUGGGGAUAAAGAGAGAAGGGUGGCAGAUGAAGAGGGGGAGGGAGAGAAGUAUGACCCCUUUGAUCCCACUGGCUCUCCAGAAUCAGAUGUAGAUGAAGACAUUAAAAAAGAGGAGGAGAUUCACAAUCCUGAGGAGAAAGAAGAAGAACCUCCAGAUUCCACUGACACCUUUACAGACCAGCUGAGCCCCUGUCCAGCUCCCCAGCUGUCUCUGAGACGGAGACUGGGCAGCAGCACCCCCAAAGGCGAAGGGCAAAAAGAGAGCAGUGACUCUGACCAUUCUGAGAUAGAGGAGGGGGAAAUUGUUGGAGCUGUUGACAGAGACAGGGCUAAUAACAGACCUGAUGAAGAGCAACUCACCUCAAACUCUCCCAAAAUCUCUUUCUUUGCUUCUAAACCAGAGCGCAUUCUCCGUGUGCUCGAUGGAGAUGGAUUUGUAUCCGUGUGCACGGAGGGAAACUGGGAGGAUGACCAGGAGCUGGAGAACGAGCCUGUAGUUGGAGUGGAGGAUUUGAGAAGGAAGUUGGUCAGUAGGAGGAAGGAAAGAUAUCACUCAUUUCCUGCCUCGUCUCCCCUUUCUUCUCAGCCACCACUGCCUCCUUCUGUGCCUAAAGCUUCUGCAGUGUCCCCUCCACCCAUAUCUCCUGUAGAGCAAACUGGCAAGAGCCACAAGUCCUCCAAGAGCUCCAAGGAGCGUGACCAACAGAAAAGCAGAGAUAGGAAAGCUGGAGAAAAGGAAACCAGAAGGAAAAAGCGAAGGAAGGGCAAAGAGGGGGAUAGGGACAGGAGCAAAGAAAAGGAACAAGGACACAAGGCUGGGAAGGAGGUUAGAGCAAGGAGGAGCAGCAGAAGCAGCAGUCAAAAGAGAAAGAAACGACUACACAGCAGCCCCGAAGAUUCCCACAAGUCCUCUAGAAAGGGAGGGCAUUCUAGACUAUCCUUCUCCAGGCUGUCCGAGGAAAGACAUCGAGAUCAAGAAAGAGACAAAGACAGGAACAGAGACAGAGAAAGGGACAGAUACGGAUACCGAGACCGGGAUGGAGAUAAAGACCGAGAUAGAGAUAAAAACCGAGACAGAGACAGAGAUGGACAUCGUCAUCGCAGCAGUAGCCAUAGAAAAGAUGAAAGAGUGCAUGAUUCCAGUUCUAGAAAAAGAGAGGGGGAAAAGAAGGGCAUACGCCAUUCAAGCAGCAGAGAGCGAGGCCUCACGGAGAGGUCCAAAAGGAGCAGGGACAAGAGGGACAGCGACAGACAGCAUGAGAUGGAGCGCCGGCGAGAUGGGCGUCCUGUUGUGCCCCCAUCUAUCCAAGACCUCAACGGGUCCGAUCUCUUUGCUAUUAAGAGAACCAUCACAGUCACAACCACUACCACCACCACCACCGUACCUGGCUCCCCCAGACUGUCCACAGCAUCUCCCAGUCAUCCCACACAGGUCAGCGAGUCGCAUAAAAGGAAGAAAAGAAAAUGGCAUUCAGGUGGAGCUGCAGAGGAAGAGGGAAGCUGUCGCAGCUGGUCACAAUCGCUUUCACCACCCAGGUAUCAUGGCUAUGAGUCGGACCGCUACUCAGACAAAUUGGAGAUUGACAUGUUGUCUUUAGAUGGUGAAGCCUUGGAUUCAGAUUACCCCUCUAUGGAGGAUACGCCUCCGGCCACUUUGCCUCCAGAGCCUCCUGUCCCCAGCCCUAAAGCUAAAGCUACACCCAAGACCAGACGAAGUCACCCCAAAAAGAAGUCCCACGCAUUAAAGAAAUCAAAGCGGGCCAGAAAACUGGGCAAAGACAAAGACAGAGACAAGGGCGGCAGAAAGGAUCUGAGUCGCUCCGGCAAAUCCAAGAAAGAUGGUGGAAGUGGUCGAAAGGGUAAGCUUCAAUCCAAAGUGUCUGUUCUGGUGCGUGAGGGAGUGAGCAGCACCACAGGGGCCUCAGUUGGCUCCGGAAAGCUGAGCAUGGACCUGCUAGGCUCUGGAGGUACAGCUGGCGGGGGCGGGGGCUCAAUUGCAGUAGUCUUUUGCAGAGACAAUGAAAGCAGGUCACCUUUCCUUAAACCAUGUUCAGAGCCACUUUCUCUGGGUGGCCGCGGUAAAGACCUGAGCAGUCUGGGAAAACGGAGCAGCCUGGCUGCACCACCGUCAGCCCUAGCCAGCCCUGCAGGGCUCAAAUCCAAGAAAACAAAAACCAGCUCCAUCACAUCCACCUCCUCCUCUGCAUCUUCACCCUCGUCAUCUCUAGCAACCAAGCGCCGCCGUCGCCUGGUCAAGAAGACCAGCAAAAAAGAUGGAGGUGUUGGAUUGGCUGCAGCAGAUGGUAACCAAUCCAAAGCCUCGUCUGAAGGCUGGGCCGGAGCCUCUUUAGAUGUUCCAUCAGCUGGUUUAGAGGGGAGCAAGUCUGCUAAUCCUCACUGUGGCCAAACAGGUCCUCCACCCUGUUCUUCCUCCUCCUCUUCCACGUCCUCCUCCACCAGUGUCCUCCCACCCUCCUCUUCUCCACCGCACACACCUCCACCAUCUACUGCAACUCUGAGGGACACUAGAGAGUCUUCUCCAGACUCUCAGACUGUGGACAGUAGCUGUAAGACACCAGACCCAUCUUUCCUAGCUGAAGACUGUCCAACUCAGACCAGUCCCACCCCUCCUGCCUCCAGUCCGUCCAGCCUGUCCACCCCUCAGGGAGCAGGCCUCACCAAUGCCUUGUCUACACUGACUGCCAAGCCCCCUUUUCCAGAUGAUUCAUCCAAAUCUUUGGCUUCUCCUCCUUGCUCAUCGUCAUCAGCUGGCCUCACUUCUCUUUCUCUACCUCUGUCUUCAUCCGACCCCUCCUCCUCUUCUUCUGUAUCUUCUUCAUGUGCCAGCAAACCACCCCCUCCUCCUCCGCCGCCCCCUCCAGCAGCUUCCGCCCUUCCCUGGAGUCUGCAGACCGGAGUAGACUGCACAACUGGAGGCGUCCUAGCACGUGAGAAUAAAAUACUCCUUCUGUUCAAAUGAAAUUUGCUUUUGUAGAACUUCAGUCUUCUUUAACCAAACCAAGCAACGGCCCUUUUUGUAAAGACCCUGAGAGCAAAAGCACUCCGGAACAAAUAAAACUAUAGCUUAACUCAUUCACUGCCCGCCGUUAUCUGAUCAGAAAGCCUCUGACCAGCAGCAUCUUUGAUCCUUUUUACUGUUUUUUUUGAAGAGUCACAGAACAUUGUGCUCUGUGAUCAUGUUAACACCAAAACUACCAAAAGAAAGAGUCGGCUCACUCCUUGGGUCAGAGAGAAUCGUGUUUCUAGCUGUUCCAUGCUUUCACAGUCAUUUGUCGCAGUGUGAGCAGCAGCAGGUUUGCGCCUCACUUUAGGCAUGGCGGCGUCCCAAGCCGAGCUUCUAACUCAUGAGUUGUCCGUUUCCCGGUCACGUGACGUGUGACACACAUGGAUGAAAAUCAAAAUUAGAGCCGUUACGUUUACUCUGAAGGUGCGACCUCGUUCCCAAGCCCAUCCCUUUAAAAAACGUAGUAGACAUCUUUUAGAAGCGAGCGACCGGGUUUAGAAUGACGACUUUAGUCGUCAGUGGCAGUGAAUGAGUUAAUAAAUGGAUGGUAUCAGACAUGUUCAUAUCUGAGGCUCCCUGUUGGAUUCAUCCAAAUAAAGCAGGAGAAACAAAGGCUGUGUCUCAAUUCAGGGUCUGCUUCCUUCGAAGGACCCAGCCUACUCGGCCGACGUGGGCUGCGUCCUCCGUCGGCCGACUAGACCAGAUGUUAACGGCUGUGAAUUUGGACAGGCCUAGCCUUCAUGAAUUCCCGCCACUCCCUCGGCCAACGUUCCGUCGCCUAGCAACCGUGGAACCGCUGAGCAGAAGGGAGAAGGAACUUUAAACGAUGGAGCUGGAAGUUUUAUUUAGCUUUUUAAUCAUUUCCUUGACUGUUGGAGAGCUAAUUCAGAGAAAAUACUUGCGACAAGCUGAGCCUGAGCAAAGAUGUGAUAACAGUUUUUAAUACUUUCUAAGGGUCUUAAUUUGACCAAAACCCAUUUAUCACCUUUUAAGACUUUUCAGACCCAGCGGAUACCCUGUAAUAUUAAACAAUUCUCAAUUGUAAACAAAAAUAAAAUUCAAGAAUUUAUACAGAACUGAUUUUAUUUAGAUAUUUCUUUUAUAUGUACAUGUUUAAUCUUUCUUAACCAUUUUUUCUGUCAAAAUUCUCCCUUCUCUCCUGGGCCCUCUGCUGCUCUGCCUCCCUCUGCAGCCUCAUGUCCUCCCUGAUCAGCUCCAGAAGCUGGUCAUCGCUGUCACCUUCCCCUGGAUGCCCAUUUUCUCCAGAAUAGUCUUAACAAACAUGUAAGAAAA